GCUAAUGUACGUACAUAUUAAAGUCAAGAAAAGAGGACAUUUCCCCAACUUUAUAAACAUAUGUUAACUAUGCUAAACAAAUAUUUCAGAUUUUCAUAACUUGCGGACUAAUUUACGUAUUAAAAUUGAGAAAAGAGGGCACAUCCUCAACUUUAUAUACAUAUAUUAAAUAUACAACAACAAAUAUUUGAGAUUUUUAUAACUUGUACAUAUUAAAGUUAAGAAAAGAGGACAUAUCCUCA
RNAcentral lists this long non-coding RNA (242 nucleotides) under Solanum tuberosum (potato). RNAcentral's name for it is "long non-coding RNA (STUB_LNC002725)". The record is from RNAcentral. Lineage: Eukaryota; Viridiplantae; Streptophyta; Magnoliopsida; Solanales; Solanaceae.